GCAACAAAGCUUUCAGGAGGCCGCCUCAAAACCAGUACCGCUACAAAAGCAAAAAGCCUGCAAGCUAUCAGAGAAACUCAAGUUACAGUCCCGAACAAGAAGUACCCAACAGAGAAAAAAUAAAUAUGAUUCAUGUGAGACAUGAAAGAUAUUUGUAUUUUGAUAAUGAUUGACAACACUACUGCUGUAUCGUACAUCGAUUCUUUAGGAGGGCCGAAGAUGUUUUAACUCAUCCUACCAGGCAGGUCAGGGAGUUGCCCAAAAUGAAGUUACUAGCUGUUAUGGUGUCGGGCAAGGUAGCUCUACAGACAGAUUUUCAAAACAGGCUAAAAGACAUUUUGUUAUCCUCAUGGAGAGAUUCCACAAAGGACCAAUACUCUAGCCACAUUAAGCAAUGGUUCCGGCAUUGCACUCAAAGAUCUGUGGAUCCGUUUUCUCCCUCUAUAGAAGAGAUUAUUGAAUAUUUGACUUUCUUAUUUCAUAAAGGACUAAGUUAUAGUUCGUUAAAUUGCACAAGAAGUGCUUUAUCUAGUUUU
Long non-coding RNA from Patella vulgata (common limpet), 536 nucleotides. RefSeq lists it as uncharacterized. The transcript has 3 exons. The record is from RefSeq and is a predicted model, not a curated record. NCBI's taxonomy places the organism in Eukaryota, Metazoa, Mollusca, Gastropoda, Patellidae.